GUGUAUGUAAAUGUGUGUGGGUGGGUGGGGGGUCGUUUUCCUUUUUUCUUUCCUUUCUUCAAAGUAUCUAUUAUUCAACUUUAGAAUUCAGUGCCCUAGUGAGGUCCAAGGUGAAAUGACAUUUCUGAGGCGUCCUUCGCAUCCUGGGUGUUUCUAGAUUAAAAAAAGAAAAAGGAUCCCUGUGCAAGGGCUGCUUCCAAACAAGAUCAAAAUUCCCUGGGGAGACUACUUUAAAAUAGCAGGAGAGAUAGCAUCUGAACGUUCCUAGAAUAAAACAAAGAAUGUAUAAAACAGUUGGGGAUAAAGGCUCUCAGGUAUGAACUCACCUUCCCUUCCCUUGCGGAGCACCGCCUACUAGGUAACAGCUACAAAAGUCCCAGUUGGGCGCAAUAACAUCCCGGCCCUGCGGAGAGAUGCAGAAAACCCACGGCUGCGCAGGCGCAGGUGCGAGUGCGGGCGCCAUGCUGCUCGGGGCGCAUGCGUGCUCGUGCAGCAACUCGGCGCCACUCUGGGUGCAGGCGUGAACCUGAGAGCAAGGUCCACGAAUUCUACAAUGGCCAUUUGGGAAAACGGUUCAUUCAUCAUUUCUCCUCAUUCUCUUGGUCCAUUUUGGCAGGUUCUCAGCUCCCCGGACUCCCCAUAUCCAUGGCGGGUGUACUGCCACUCUUAUCACUGAAUCCAGUGUCAGCCACCAGAACGCAUGGCCAGGAGACUGUUCCAUUGCUUACGACGUAUCUCUCAACACUGGAUUUUUAAAGAGCCUCAGGACAGCACCAGUGUCAGGAGUCAGUGGUAUAGAUACUUGGCAUGUCAUGGAAAGUCACCUGUCUUAGAGCAAGAAGGCUGACAGUGCUGCUGGCCAGGGCAGCCUGUACUGUUGCCAGGCUGGCUGUGGAAGAGUCACUUGGAUCACUUGCUGUGUAUAUUUCCCAUCCCUCACCCUGGGAGAUUCCUACUCCAGCAAAUCUAAGUCCAAGGAAAUGUGCUUGAAGCCAGAGGUCAACAGUCCGUGGUGUUCAAGGAGGAACAGCGGCACGGAUCGUCCCAAGGAAAUCCAUUUUCAGAUUCUCGGCUUCGUGUUUGGUGUCUGACAACAGCCUUCCAGAAGCUGAGGUGAGACUCGUGAGAAGGGAGACACCAAGACGCGGUUUCUCUCAAGUUCAGGUUUGUAGUGUUUCAGUUGGCGCAGUCCAGCGAGCAGAGCUGGCCAAGUGCAGCCGUGAUGAAAUCCCUAAAUACCAGUGCUCUUCAAGGCUGGCCUCUGGCUUCCUCCACCUCAUGCGAAGAUUGAGACCAAGAUUGAGACGCGGUGCCACUGUAGGCGCCUUGGAUAGA
Artibeus jamaicensis (Jamaican fruit-eating bat) is the source of this 1335-nucleotide long non-coding RNA. RefSeq lists it as uncharacterized. Lineage: Eukaryota; Metazoa; Chordata; Mammalia; Chiroptera; Phyllostomidae. The transcript has 7 exons. The record is from RefSeq and is a predicted model, not a curated record.